GAUGAACGCUGGCGGCGUGCCUAAUACAUGCAAGUCGAGCGAACAGACGCGGUCCUUGCUCCUCUGACGUUAGCGGCGGCCGAGUGAGUAAUAAGUGGAUAACCUACCUCUACGUCUUGGUUAACUACGGGAAACCGGUGUUACUACCACGUAAUAUAUUGAACCUCUUGGUUCAAUGGUGAAAGAAGGUUUUUGUGUCAGUUAUAGAUGGGUCCGCGCCGCAUUAGCUUGUUGGUAGGGUAAUGGCUUACCAAGGCAACGAUGCGUAGCCGACCUGAGAGGGUGAUCGGCCACACUGGAGGUGAGACGAGGUCCAGACGCCUACGGGAGGCAGCAGUAGGGAAUAUUACGCAAUGGGCGAAAGCCGGACGGAGCAACGCCGCGGGGGUGAUGAAGGUCUUCGGAGCGUAAAACUCUGUUAUUAGGGAAGAACAAGUGUGUAAGUAACUAUGCACGUCUUGACGGUACCUAAUCAGAAAGCCACGGCUAACUACGUG
Molecule: ribosomal RNA, 497 nt
Filed under: uncultured bacterium
Lineage: Bacteria
Description: partial 16S ribosomal RNA
Rfam family: Bacterial small subunit ribosomal RNA
Source: RNAcentral